RNAcentral lists this ribosomal RNA (372 nucleotides) under uncultured Methanosaeta sp. RNAcentral's name for it is "bacterial SSU rRNA". It matches the Rfam family "Archaeal small subunit ribosomal RNA", at positions 967 to 1338 of the family's 1478-position model. The record is from RNAcentral. Lineage: Archaea; Methanobacteriati; Methanobacteriota; Methanomicrobia; Methanotrichales; Methanotrichaceae.
UUUGCCGGAUUAGCUGAGAGGUGGUGCAUGGCCGUCGUCAGUUCGUACUGUGAAGCAUCCUGUUAAGUCAGGCAACGAGCGAGACCCACGCCCACAGUUGCCAGCGUACUCUCCGGAGUGACGGGUACACUGUGGGGACCGCCGCUGCUAAAGCGGAGGAAGGAAUGGGCAACGGUAGGUCAGUAUGCCCCGAAUAUCCCGGGCUACACGCGAGCUACAAUGGUUGGUACAAUGGGUAUCUACCCCGAAAGGGGAUGGAAAUCUCCUAAAGCCAAUCUUAGUCCGGAUUGAGGGCUGCAACUCGCCCUCAUGAAGCUGGAAUCCGUAGUAAUCGCGUUUCAACAGAACGCGGUGAAUACGUCCCUGCUCCUU